UACGUAGGAUGCAAGCGUUGUCCGGAAUUAUUGGGCGUAAAGAGUUCGUAGGCGGUGAUCUAAGUCUGGUGUUAAAGCCCGGAGCUCAACUCCGGCAUGGCAUUGGAAACUGGAUUGCUAGAGUGUGGUAGAGGUAACUGGAAUUCCAGGUGUAGCGGUGAAAUGCGUAGAUAUCUGGAGGAACACCAGUGGCGAAAGCGAGUUACUGGCCCACAACUGACGCUGAGGAACGAAAGCCAGGGUAGCAAAA
Molecule: ribosomal RNA, 250 nt
Filed under: uncultured bacterium
Lineage: Bacteria
Description: partial 16S ribosomal RNA
Rfam family: Bacterial small subunit ribosomal RNA
Source: RNAcentral